RNAcentral lists this ribosomal RNA (439 nucleotides) under uncultured bacterium. RNAcentral describes it as "partial 16S ribosomal RNA". It matches the Rfam family "Bacterial small subunit ribosomal RNA", at positions 339 to 795 of the family's 1533-position model. The record is from RNAcentral.
CUACGGGCGGCUGCAGUGGGGAAUAUUGCACAAUGGAGGAAACUCUGAUGCAGCAACGCCGCGUGGAGGAUGACACUUUUCGGAGCGUAAACUCCUUUUAUAUAGGAAGAAGAUGACGGUACUAUAUGAAUAAGCGCCGGCUAACUCCGUGCCAGCAGCCGCGGUAAUACGGAGGGCGCAAGCGUUACUCGGAAUCACUGGGCGUAAAGCGCGUGUAGGCGGAUUAAAAAGUCAGAAGUGAAAUCCUAUAGCUUAACUAUAGAACUGCUUCUGAAACUCUUAAUCUAGAAUAUGGGAGAGGUAGAUGGAAUUUCUGGUGUAGGGGUAAGAUCCGUAGAGAUCAGAAGGAAUACCGAUUGCGAAGGCGAUCUACUAGAACAUUAUUGACGCUGAGACGCGAAAGCGUGGGGAGCAAACAGGAUUAGAUACCCCUGUAGUC